GUUUGGAACUGUUCUUCAGACUCUGUUUAUUCCUGCUUGGUUCUGUAUUUCAGUUUAGGAUUAUUGGAUUAUUAGAGUGACGGUGUUGAUGUCACUUAUACCAGUGGUCCAGACUCAAGGGAAUGGUAAAGCUGUGGUGUCCAUAAAGCCUGAUACACACGUGUUCAUUGGAGAGCGUGUUACUCUCAGAUGUGAAAUACAGGGAGGAGGCUCUGAGUGGGAAUACGGCUGGUAUAAAAGUAAUAACAAAUUUACAGACAGCACAAAACAGGAGAUCAGAAUCCAGUCUGUUGGAGACUCUGACAGUGGUGACUACACCUGCAGAAGACUAUGGGAUUCCUCUCAGAGAUCAGAGACCAGUGAUGCUGUUACACUCACUG
Long non-coding RNA from Silurus meridionalis, 380 nucleotides. RefSeq lists it as uncharacterized. NCBI's taxonomy places the organism in Eukaryota, Metazoa, Chordata, Actinopteri, Siluriformes, Siluridae. The record is from RefSeq and is a predicted model, not a curated record. The transcript is spliced from 3 exons.